AGAGUUUGAUCCUGGCUCAGAUUGAACGCUGGCGGCAUGCCUUACACAUGCAAGUCGAACGGUAACAGCACUUCGGUGGCUGACGAGUGGCGAACGGGUGAGUAAUACAUCGGAACGUGCCCGAGAGUGGGGGAUAACGCAGCGAAAGCUGUGCUAAUACCGCAUACGAUCUACGGAUGAAAGCAGGGGACCGCAAGGCCUUGCGCUCAUGGAGCGGCCGAUGGCAGAUUAGGUAGUUGGUGGGAUAAAAGCUUACCAAGCCGACGAUCUGUAGCUGGUCUGAGAGGACGACCAGCCACACUGGGACUGAGACACGGCCCAGACUCCUACGGGAGGCAGCAGUGGGGAAUUUUGGACAAUGGGCGAAAGCCUGAUCCAGCCAUGCCGCGUGCAGGAUGAAGGCCUUCGGGUUGUAAACUGCUUU
RNAcentral lists this ribosomal RNA (424 nucleotides) under uncultured bacterium. RNAcentral's name for it is "bacterial SSU rRNA". It matches the Rfam family "Bacterial small subunit ribosomal RNA", at positions 8 to 436 of the family's 1533-position model. The record is from RNAcentral.